AAUCCGUCGACUUUCGAAAUCGUGAGGGUUCAAGUCCCU
Molecule: transfer RNA, 39 nt
Filed under: Impatiens tangachee
Lineage: Eukaryota; Viridiplantae; Streptophyta; Magnoliopsida; Ericales; Balsaminaceae
Description: partial tRNA-Leu
Source: RNAcentral